Molecule: ribosomal RNA, 846 nt
Filed under: bacterium 15Q
Lineage: Bacteria
Description: bacterial SSU rRNA
Rfam family: Bacterial small subunit ribosomal RNA
Source: RNAcentral
GGGCAGGGCUUCAGCAGUCAAGGCACCGGGAGCAAUCCUGGUGGCGAGUGGCGAACGGGUGAGUAAUACAUCGGAACGUGCCCAAUCGUGGGGGAUAACGCAGCGAAAGCUGUGCUAAUACCGCAUACGAUCUACGGAUGAAAGCAGGGGACCGCAAGGCCUUGCGCGAAUGGAGCGGCCGAUGGCAGAUUAGGUAGUUGGUGAGGUAAAGGCUCACCAAGCCUUCGAUCUGUAGCUGGUCUGAGAGGACGACCAGCCACACUGGGACUGAGACACGGCCCAGACUCCUACGGGAGGCAGCAGUGGGGAAUUUUGGACAAUGGGCGAAAGCCUGAUCCAGCAAUGCCGCGUGCAGGAUGAAGGCCUUCGGGUUGUAAACUGCUUUUGUACGGAACGAAACGGUUCUUUCUAAUAAAGAGGGCUAAUGACGGUACCGUAAGAAUAAGCACCGGCUAACUACGUGCCAGCAGCCGCGGUAAUACGUAGGGUGCAAGCGUUAAUCGGAAUUACUGGGCGUAAAGCGUGCGCAGGCGGUUAUGUAAGACAGUUGUGAAAUCCCCGGGCUCAACCUGGGAAUUGCAUCUGUGACUGCAUAGCUAGAGUACGGUAGAGGGGGAUGGAAUUCCGCGUGUAGCAGUGAAAUGCGUAGAUAUGCGGAGGAACACCGAUGGCGAAGGCAAUCCCCUGGACCUGUACUGACGCUCAUGCACGAAAGCGUGGGGAGCAAACAGGAUUAGAUACCCUGGUAGUCCACGCCCUAAACGAUGUCAACUGGUUGUUGGGUCUUCACUGACUCAGUAACGAAGCUAACGCGUGAAGUUGACCGCCUGGNGAGUACGGCCGCAA